RNAcentral lists this ribosomal RNA (496 nucleotides) under uncultured bacterium. RNAcentral's name for it is "partial 16S ribosomal RNA". It matches the Rfam family "Bacterial small subunit ribosomal RNA", at positions 28 to 507 of the family's 1533-position model. The record is from RNAcentral.
GACGAACGCUGGCGGCACGCCUAACACAUGCAAGUCGAGCGGUUCGGAGAUUGGAACUGAGGGAUUAAGGAAUUAAUCUCUGAGCUCCAAUUUCCGGAUAGCGGCGGACGGGUGAGUAACACGUGAGGAACCUGCCUUUCAGAGGGGGAUAACGUUUGGAAACGAACGCUAAUACCGCAUGAAGUAUAUUUACGGCAUCGUAGAUAUACCAAAGGAGCAAUCCGCUGAAAGAUGGCCUCGCGGCUGAUUAGCUAGUUGGCGGGGUAACGGCCCACCAAGGCGACGAUCAGUAGCCGGACUGAGAGGUUGAACGGCCACAUUGGGACUGAGACACGGCCCAGACUCCUACGGGAGGCAGCAGUGGGGGAUAUUGCACAAUGGGCGAAAGCCUGAUGCAGCGAUGCCGCGUGGAGGAAGAAGGUCUUCGGAUUGUAAACUCCUGUCUUGAGGGACGAUAAUGACGGUACCUAAGGAGGAAGCUCCGGCUAACUACGUG